AUUGAACGCUGGCGGCAGGCCUAACACAUGCAAGUCGAGCGAGCGGCGGACGGGUGAGUACUGUCUGGGAAACUGCCUGAUACCGGGGGAUAACUACUGGAAAAGGUAGCUAAUACCGUAUACCAUCCGCUGUGCCAAGGGGGGAUUAGCUAGUGGGUGGGGUAACGGCUCACCUAGGCGACGAUCCCUAGCUGGUCUGAGAGGUUGACCAGCCACACUGGAACGGAGACACGGCCCAGACUCCUACGGGAGGCAGCAGUGGGGAAUAUUGCACAAUGGGCGCAAGCCUGAUGCAGCCAUGCCGCGUGUGUGAAGAAGGCCUUCGGGUUGUAAAGCACUUUCAGCGGGGAGGCGUUACCCGCAGAAGAAGCAACGGCUAACUCCGUGCCAGCAGCCGCGGUAAUAC
This 406-nucleotide ribosomal RNA is filed under the name uncultured bacterium. Its description in RNAcentral is "partial 16S ribosomal RNA". It matches the Rfam family "Bacterial small subunit ribosomal RNA", at positions 30 to 526 of the family's 1533-position model. The record is from RNAcentral.